RNAcentral lists this transfer RNA (64 nucleotides) under Agrilus discalis. RNAcentral describes it as "tRNA-Pro". Lineage: Eukaryota; Metazoa; Arthropoda; Insecta; Coleoptera; Buprestidae. The record is from RNAcentral.
CAAAGGAUAGUUUAAUUAAAAUGUAAAUUUUGGAGAUUUAUGAUAGGAGUGAUCUUUCCUUUGA